UAUAAAGUAAGCUAUAAAAGCUAGUGGGUUCAUACCCCAAAUAAGACCUAGUCCUUUAUUA
This 61-nucleotide transfer RNA is filed under the name Alectorobius rudis. RNAcentral describes it as "tRNA-Met". The record is from RNAcentral. Lineage: Eukaryota; Metazoa; Arthropoda; Arachnida; Ixodida; Argasidae.